This 424-nucleotide ribosomal RNA is filed under the name Fusobacteriota bacterium. RNAcentral describes it as "Fusobacteria bacterium partial 16S ribosomal RNA". It matches the Rfam family "Bacterial small subunit ribosomal RNA", at positions 355 to 776 of the family's 1533-position model. The record is from RNAcentral. Lineage: Bacteria; Fusobacteriati; Fusobacteriota.
UGAGGAAUAUUGGUCAAUGGGCGAGAGCCUGAACCAGCCAAGUCGCGUGAAGGAAGACAGUCCUAAGGAUUGUAAACUUCUUUUAUACGGGAAUAACGGGCGAUACGAGUAUUGCAUUGAAUGUACCGUAAGAAUAAGCAUCGGCUAACUCCGUGCCAGCAGCCGCGGUAAUACGGAGGAUGCGAGCGUUAUCCGGAUUUAUUGGGUUUAAAGGGUGCGUAGGUUGUUCGGUAAGUCAGCGGUGAAACCUGAGCGCUCAACGUUCAGCCUGCCGUUGAAACUGCGGGGCUUGAGUUCAGUGGCGGCAGGCGGAAUUCGUGGUGUAGCGGUGAAAUGCAUAGAUAUCACGAGGAACACCGAUUGCGAAGGCAGCUUGCCAUGCUGCGACUGACACUGAAGCACGAAGGCGUGGGUAUCAAACAGG